Molecule: long non-coding RNA, 1034 nt
Organism: Dermochelys coriacea (leatherback sea turtle)
Lineage: Eukaryota; Metazoa; Chordata; Testudines; Dermochelyidae
Exons: 3
Source: RefSeq, a predicted model, not a curated record
ACGGGGGCCCCGUGAAGCUAAGUUACAUGUUUCAGCCCCCGGGUGGUGGGACUUGGGCUUCAGACAAGGCUCACAAGUGAAAAACAGGCUGAAGUAUCACACUGAAAUGUAAGUACAGUAUUUAUAUUCCAAUCAAUCUAUUUUAUAAUUAUAUGGGGAAAAUGAGAAAGUAAUCCAUUUUUCAGUUAUAAUAUGGUAUGACACUUUUGUAUUUUUAUGUCUGAUAUUGUAAGGAAGUAGUUUAAGUGAGGUAAAACUUGAGCUAUGGGAGACCAAUCAGACUCCUGAACAAGGUACAGUAGCCUGGAAAGGUUGAGAACCACUGAUCUAAACAUCAGGCUUGAGGUGUAUAAACACCAUCAGACCAAAGUUUCUUAUCUUGGUGCCCUUUCUCCUUCCUCAGUGGAGAAAAUGAGUUCCAUGCGGCUCACUGCGAGGGAGGUUUCUCUCCAGAGGUUUCUCUCCAGAGGUAUCUCAAAAACAAAAAGAGCCUCUGUGGAACAUCAAGGACCAAUGGUCUUUUCUGGAUGAGUGUACUUAGUCAUAUUAACCGUCUCUCUUUCUCCCUCUGUUUUGGUGCUCUGGUUGCCUUUUUACUUGAUGGUCUCCUCCUUGAGGUGACAGCAAUUCAGCACUGUGUAAAAUGGUUCCUGUAUCUGUUGUGAAAUUCUUUAGAAUCUGUUAAUAUAAACCUGACUUAUUAAUUCCCAUGCACAAAGGUGAAACAUCAGUUAAAAUAACAUGUAGCAAGAGAUUCUAAAAUAAAGAUAGCACUGAAAAAGCCUUUUGUUUAAUAAAUGCUUGAGGUUUUUAUUUAACUAUGCAAAAUGACCUUUGUUUAUACUUUAGAAGAAGAAAGAUGGUGGAUAGUGCACUGGCCAAGUUCAAUUCUCUUCUCUGCCUUUAACUUCCUGUAUGUGACCUUUGGCAAGUCACUUGGUCUCUUCAGUCUUCUAUCUUCAAAAUAUACCUUUACCCCGAUAUAACGCAACACUAUGUAACAUGGAUCUGGAUAUAAUGCGGUAAAGGGGGGC